Molecule: transfer RNA, 48 nt
Filed under: Thoropa miliaris (rock river frog)
Lineage: Eukaryota; Metazoa; Chordata; Amphibia; Anura; Cycloramphidae
Description: partial tRNA-Tyr
Source: RNAcentral
GAUAAGAAGAGGACUUAAACCUAUGUUUUCGGGGCUACAACCCGCCGC